This 528-nucleotide long non-coding RNA is filed under the name Elaeis guineensis (African oil palm). RNAcentral's name for it is "long non-coding RNA (EGUI_LNC050499)". Lineage: Eukaryota; Viridiplantae; Streptophyta; Magnoliopsida; Arecales; Arecaceae. The record is from RNAcentral.
UCAUCCUAAACACAGGGGUCAAAAGGAUGAAUUAUACAGUAACCAUAUUCAUGUAGGUUCUGAGUGUUCCGAUUGUGACUUUUCGAUCUAUCCGGAUGUCGGGUACCAUUGCUAGAUGGUCACUUCGAUUAGUACUGGAAUUGGUUCCUGUGCUACCAGCUUAGGUUCGAACCUGUGGGGUCACACACAUUAGAGGUUCCUAUUUGAUCUGAUGGCUGAUGUAGAAUCCUACAUAUUUGGGACUCAGUGAUCGAGAAUCAGGAUUCUCUGAUCAUGAGUUCCACACAUUAUGGGUACCAGGGUCAAGAGUCUCACUGGUUGGGACUUUUCGAUCAGGGUUACAUAUCGAUGAAUUCUGAUGCCCGAUUGCCCAUCGGAUUUGGACUCAGUAUUUAUGAGAGGUUUAAUUAGUGAUUUGAUCGCUAAUUAACUCAAUUUGAGUGAGUAAUUAUUUUUGGAUCAAGUCCAAUUGAAUUGGAUUCAGUUGGGUUUGACCCGAUUAGGUUAAGAGUUGACCUAAUCGUCAAG